CCUACGGGUGGCAGCAGUGAGGAAUAUUGGUCAAUGGACGAAAGUCUGAACCAGCCAAGUAGCGUGAAGGAUGACUGCCCUAUGGGUUGUAAACUGCUUUUAUAAAGGAAUAAAACGAGGCACGUGUGCCUGUUUGCAUGUACUUUAUGAAUAAGGAUCGGCUAACUCCGUGCCAGCAGCCGCGGUAAUACGGAGGAUCCGAGCGUUAUCCGGAUUUAUUGGGUUUAAAGGGAGCGUAGGUGGGUUGUUAAGUCAGUUGUGAAAGUUUGCGGCUCAACCGUAAAAUUGCAAUUGAUACUGGCAGUCUUGAGUAUAGUUGAGGUAGGCGGAAUGCGUGGUGUAGCGGUGAAAUGCUUAGAUAUCACGAAGAACACCGAUUGCGAAGGCAGCUUACUAAGCUGUGACUGACAUUGAUGCUCGAAAGUGUGGGUAGCAAACAGGAUUAGAUACCCCAGUAGUC
RNAcentral lists this ribosomal RNA (460 nucleotides) under uncultured bacterium. RNAcentral's name for it is "partial 16S ribosomal RNA". It matches the Rfam family "Bacterial small subunit ribosomal RNA", at positions 338 to 795 of the family's 1533-position model. The record is from RNAcentral.